CUAUGCGCCUUGCCAGCCCGCUCAGGUGUGCCAGCCGCCGCGGUAAUACGUAGGGAGCGAGCGUUGUCCGGAAUUACUGGGUGUAAAGGGAGCGUAGGCGGGGAUGCAAGUUGGGUGUCAAAACUACCGGCUCAACUGGUAGUCGCACUCAAAACUGCAGCUCUUGAGUGAAGUAGAGGCAGGCGGAAUUCCUAGUGUAGCGGUGAAAUGCGUAGAUAUUAGGAGGAACACCAGUGGCGAAGGCGGCCUGCUGGGCUUUACUGACGCUGAGGCUCGAAAGUGUGGGGAGCAAACAGG
Molecule: ribosomal RNA, 297 nt
Filed under: uncultured bacterium
Lineage: Bacteria
Description: partial 16S ribosomal RNA
Rfam family: Bacterial small subunit ribosomal RNA
Source: RNAcentral